This 208-nucleotide long non-coding RNA is filed under the name Physcomitrium patens. Its description in RNAcentral is "long non-coding RNA (PPAT_LNC006615)". Lineage: Eukaryota; Viridiplantae; Streptophyta; Bryopsida; Funariales; Funariaceae. The record is from RNAcentral.
GAAUCACGUUGCGCUGGUCACGCACCACCGUCGCCGUGAUGGUCCACAACGCAGCAGGCGUGUACCAAGUUGUGAAGUAGAUCCAUAUCGCUUCUGACAAUGUACUGGGAGUCCCUGUGAAUGCAGUGCUUCUAUUACAGACCGCGCGAGGUCGGCUCACAAUCGACUCCUGCAGGUGGCCCAUUGUCUCCCGUUGCGGCUUGUUCCA